CAACCGUUGGAAACGACGGCUAAUACCGCAUAAUCUCUACGGAGCAAAGGGNGCUUUUAGCUCUCGCCUUUAGAUUGGCCCAAGUGGGAUUAGCUAGUUGGUGAGGUAAUGGCUCACCAAGGCGACGAUCCCUAGCUGGUUUGAGAGGAUGAUCAGCCACACUGGAACUGAGACACGGUCCAGACUCCUACGGGAGGCAGCAGUGGGGAAUAUUGCACAAUGGGCGCAAGCCUGAUGCAGCCAUGCCGCGUGUGUGAAGAAGGCCUUCGGGUUGUAAAGCACUUUCAGUCAGGAGGAAAGGUUAGUAGUUAAUACCUGCUAGCUGUGACGUUACUGACAGAAGAAGCACCGGCUAACUCCGUGCCAGCAGCCGCGGUAAUACGGAGGGUGCGAGCGUUAAUCGGAAUUACUGGGCGUAAAGCGUACGCAGGCGGUUUGUUAAGCGAGAUGUGAAAGCCCCGGGCUCAACCUGGGAACAGCAUUUCGAACUGGCAAGCUAGAGUGUGAUAGAGGGUGGUAGAAUUUCAGGUGUAGCGGUGAAAUGCGUAGAGAUCUGAAGGAAUACCGAUGGCGAAGGCAGCCACCUGGGUCAACACUGACGCUCAUGUACGAAAGCGUGGGGAGCAAACA
Molecule: ribosomal RNA, 630 nt
Filed under: Pseudoalteromonas sp. TA64
Lineage: Bacteria; Pseudomonadati; Pseudomonadota; Gammaproteobacteria; Alteromonadales; Pseudoalteromonadaceae
Description: bacterial SSU rRNA
Rfam family: Bacterial small subunit ribosomal RNA
Source: RNAcentral